Neomonachus schauinslandi (Hawaiian monk seal) is the source of this 1197-nucleotide long non-coding RNA. RefSeq lists it as uncharacterized. NCBI's taxonomy places the organism in Eukaryota, Metazoa, Chordata, Mammalia, Carnivora, Phocidae. The transcript has 3 exons. The record is from RefSeq and is a predicted model, not a curated record.
AUGAAAGCACUUACCUCAGAGAGCGCUUUGAGGAUUAAGGGAGGUAAUGCCUGGCGUGCUGAUGCAGGGUAAACCCCACGGUCAGCUAUUACAGAAAACGGGCAUAGCCAUCUAGCACAGUUUUAAAAAGCAAGUACCAAAGAAAGUACACCAGUUCUCCCAUCCUCUCUUCUGCAGUGACAACAAAGGGGCUUAGCAUCCCAGGGGAACACUUUGGGGAAGUUGUGCACCCCUCCGGAACUGAAACUCGCCCCCAACAAAGUCUGAUGUCAUUUACUGGUGGCUCGGGAAAUAUACCGCCCAGGACACAAGCUCGCCUCCAACAUGCCAUCAGUGACUCACUUGUCACCAGCUUCCCAGCCCUGAGCAGAGGAAAGUGCAGAAGCAAAGCUUUCUGAAGAUCAGGGCUCUGAGGCCCUGGAAGAGGUGACGGGAAGUGAUUGAGAAGUCCCCACAGCCACCAUCUGGAAGCUCGGGGUGGAGUCCUCCCGGGGACAGAAGGACAGACGGCCCGCUCCUUCCCUGCCCCAGUAUUCUCAGGAGGAAGCAGGAGCCCAUGUUGCCUUCUGACCCGGAAUCAGCAGGGUUGCCGUAGAAUUUACAAGCAACUUCGAGACGCAGCACUGAGAUGGAAGAUUUAGGACUGGAGAAUUAAUUUUCUUUUCGUCCUGAGUAAAGCAGCUCUUUUUCUAAAGCCAAGAAUCCUUACAGAAUGAAUGUACCCAACGGAAACGAGCCAGUAAGCACUGCAUGACCCCAAUAAUUCCGAUCAUUUUGUGCCGCAUUUUGCAGUGGCCUAAAUUAAGCAGAAGAGAAUCCGCAGGACACGGUGCUCCUGAGAACAAAGCUGAAACUCUGCCAGUGGAACCUCGUUCCCUGGGGGGAGACUCGGGGCGGUGUCUUCUAGAACCUAAGAAGAAUAGCCCAGAGCUUGGUUUGUGGAUGGAGCACUGUUUCUUGGGUGUAAGGGUUUUAAGGGAAACAAUAACCAGCAAACAGUGACAGAGAAGUUAGGUCCGGAUUUGACAAGAACACUUCUUUAUUAAAAUGUAAUCUAGACAAUUAGAACCUUGUAGCUAAUUCAAACGGAAAAUCCUGCAAAAUGACAGUCUUCUCGUAAAAUUUUAUGUGUUUUCAAGUACAUAUUCCCCUUGCUCAGUCACACUUGCAAAAUGAUAUCCAUCUGCAUAUGAGCCC